This 869-nucleotide ribosomal RNA is filed under the name Penicillium sp. 9 BRO-2013. RNAcentral describes it as "eukaryotic LSU rRNA". The stretch from base 646 to 869 matches the Rfam family "Eukaryotic large subunit ribosomal RNA", at positions 1 to 224 of the family's 3401-position model. Lineage: Eukaryota; Fungi; Ascomycota; Eurotiomycetes; Eurotiales; Aspergillaceae. The record is from RNAcentral.
UGCAUUGAUGGCUCAGUGAGGCCUUGGGAUUGGCUUAGGAGGGUUGGCAACGACCCCCCAGAGCCGAAAACUUGGUCAAACUCGGUCAUUUAGAGGAAGUAAAAGUCGUAACAAGGUUUCCGUAGGUGAACCUGCGGAAGGAUCAUUACCGAGUGAGGGCCCUUUGGGUCCAACCUCCCACCCGUGUUUAUUUACCUCGUUGCUUCGGCGGGCCCGCCUUAACUGGCCGCCGGGGGGCUCACGCCCCCGGGCCCGCGCCCGCCGAAGACACCCCCGAACUCUGCCUGAAGAUUGUCGUCUGAGUGAAAAUAUAAAUUAUUUAAAACUUUCAACAACGGAUCUCUUGGUUCCGGCAUCGAUGAAGAACGCAGCGAAAUGCGAUACGUAAUGUGAAUUGCAAAUUCAGUGAAUCAUCGAGUCUUUGAACGCACAUUGCGCCCCCUGGUAUUCCGGGGGGCAUGCCUGUCCGAGCGUCAUUGCUGCCCUCAAGCCCGGCUUGUGUGUUGGGCCCCGUCCUCCGAUUCCGGGGGACGGGCCCGAAAGGCAGCGGCGGCACCGCGUCCGGUCCUCGAGCGUAUGGGGCUUUGUCACCCGCUCUGUAGGCCCGGCCGGCGCUUGCCGAUCAACCCAAAUUUUUAUCCAGGUUGACCUCGGAUCAGGUAGGGAUACCCGCUGAACUUAAGCAUAUCAAUAAGCGGAGGAAAAGAAACCAACAGGGAUUGCCCCAGUAACGGCGAGUGAAGCGGCAAGAGCUCAAAUUUGAAAGCUGGCUCCUUCGGGGUCCGCAUUGUAAUUUGCAGAGGAUGCUUCGGGAGCGGUCCCCAUCUAAGUGCCCUGGAACGGGACGUCAUAGAGGGUGAGAAUCCCGU